GAUGAACGCUGGCGGCGUGCCUAAUACAUGCAAGUCGAGCGAGCAGACGAGGAGCUUGCUCCUCUGACGUUAGCGGCGGACGGGUGAGUAACACGUGGAUAACAUACCUAUAAGACUGGGAUAACUUCGGGAGACCGGAGGUAAUACCGGAUAAGAUAUUUAAGCGCAUGGUUCAAUAGUGAGAGACGGUUUUGCUGUGACUUAUAGAUGGAUCCGCGCCGCAUGAUCUAGUAUGUAAUGUAACGGCUUAACAAGGCAACCAUGGGUAGGCGCCCUGAGAGGGUGUGCGGCCAUACUGGAACUGAGACGGGCUCCAGACUCCUACGGGCGGCAGCAGUAGGGAAUAGUCCGCGAUAGGCCACAGCGUGCCGGAGCAACGCGGCGCGAGUGAUGAUGGUCUUCGGAUCGUAACACGCUGUUAUCAGCGAAUACCCAGUGUGUAAGUUACUAUGCACUUCUUGACGGUUCCUGGUCAGAUAGCCCCGGCUAACUACGUG
Molecule: ribosomal RNA, 497 nt
Filed under: uncultured bacterium
Lineage: Bacteria
Description: partial 16S ribosomal RNA
Rfam family: Bacterial small subunit ribosomal RNA
Source: RNAcentral